This 253-nucleotide ribosomal RNA is filed under the name uncultured bacterium. RNAcentral's name for it is "partial 16S ribosomal RNA". It matches the Rfam family "Bacterial small subunit ribosomal RNA", at positions 524 to 776 of the family's 1533-position model. The record is from RNAcentral.
UACGUAGGGGGCAAGCGUUAUCCGGAAUUACUGGGUGUACAGGGAGCGUAGACGGUAAUGUAAGUCUGGAGUGAAAGGCGGGGGCCCAACCCCCGGACUGCUCUGGAAACUAUGUUACUAGAGUGCAGGAGAGGUAAGCGGAAUUCCUAGUGUAGCGGUGAAAUGCGUAGAUAUUAGGAGGAACACCAGUGGCGAAGGCGGCUUACUGGACUGUAACUGACGUUGAGGCUCGAAAGCGUGGGGAGCAAACAGG